RNAcentral lists this ribosomal RNA (443 nucleotides) under uncultured bacterium. Its description in RNAcentral is "partial 16S ribosomal RNA". It matches the Rfam family "Bacterial small subunit ribosomal RNA", at positions 338 to 795 of the family's 1533-position model. The record is from RNAcentral.
CCUACGGGAGGCUGCAGUGGGGAAUAUUGGGCAAUGGGCGCAAGCCUUACCCAGCAAUACCGCGUGAGUGAAGACGGUCUUCGGAUUGUAAAGCUCUUUGAUCAGGGACGAACAGAUGACGGUACCUGAAGAACAAGCCCCGGCUAACUACGUGCCAGCAGCCGCGGUAAAACGUAGGGGGCGAGCGUUGUCCGGGAUGACUGGGUGUUCAGGGUGCGUAGGCGGGAUAAUAAGGUAGAAGUGAAAUACCCAGGGCUUAAAUCGGGUGCUGCUUCUAAGACUGUUGAGCUUGAGUGCGGGAGAGGUUGAUGGAAUUCCUAGUGUAGCGGUGGAAUGCGUAGAUAUUAGGAGGAACACCAGAGGCGAAGGCGAUUAACUGGACCGUAACUGACGCUGAGGCACGAAAGUGUGGGUAGCAAACAGGAUUAGAUACCCCAGUAGUC